GAUGAAGAACGUAGCGAAAUGCGAUAAGUAGUGUGAAUUGCAGAAUUCAGUGAAUCAUCGAAUCUUUGAACGCACAUUGCGCCCGCCAGUAUUCUGGCGGGCAUGCCUGUUCGAGCGUCAUUUCAACCCUCAAGACCCCUUCGGGGGACUUGGUGUUGGGGACCGGCACAGGGGCCUGCCUGCUUGUCUUGCAGCGCCCUCGCCGCCCCCGAAAUGAAUUGGCGGCCUCGUCGCGGCCUCCCCUGCGUAGUAGCACAACCUCGCAACGGGAACGUGACGGCGGCCACUGCCGUAAAACAACCCAAUUUUAUUAGAGUUGACCUCGAAUCAGGUAGGAAUACCCGCUGAACUUAAGCAUAUCAAUAAGCGGAGGA
RNAcentral lists this unclassified non-coding RNA (374 nucleotides) under soil metagenome. RNAcentral describes it as "partial contains 5.8S ribosomal RNA, internal transcribed spacer 2, and large subunit ribosomal RNA". The stretch from base 1 to 120 matches the Rfam family "5.8S ribosomal RNA", at positions 35 to 154 of the family's 154-position model. The record is from RNAcentral.